AGAGGAAAGCCAGUCCCAUUGGCUGCUGCUAUUGAUCUUAAUGUUGAUAAUCUUGUUCAUGGCUGGAUUCUGUAUACUGAUGAAAAACGGGGCAAAGAAAACCUUUUUAAAAUGGCCUGGUUUAAUAAACGGAGGACAUGAAGAUCAUCAACACUUGAGUCAAACUGCAGGUGAUCAUCAAAUUCCGUCCAAUUCCCAAUCCCACACCUUGGAGACCGAGAUACCUCUCGGCAGUGAUGGCAGAGAGGUCAAAGGUCAGAGUACAGGGCUGAUGCCCCAAUCUGGGGCUGUGCAGCAGGUCACAAUGGAGCACAAUGGGAAGGGUGAGAACGUCAGCAAUACUGUUGGGUCCAUCUACAUCUACUCUCCUGGAAUGGUGAUUUUGGGCUCCAACUCGGGUGAUAAAAAGGAAGAGGCAGGAGUUUGCGAAGAAGGCGUUCCCCUCAUCAGCAGACCACAGCAAGAGUCAAAUCCACCCUCGCAAGAGAUCAGAAUAAGAAUAAGCGCACAGGAAGAGGCCGAGGAGGAACUGAGCUUGAGUUUUCCUGUGCCGGCAACUGGAAAGUGAGAACUCGAACGUGGUUUCUUGCAUCUUUCAUGAUGGCCUUUAGGAAGAUUCCAGGUUGAAUCACAAGGCUGAAAAUCACAAGUGGCCAGAUAUAAGAUUCCUGGUAAAGCAUAACAUCAGCAAUGGCCAAGUCAUGGUUUCAGUUCCAGAGAAACAUGCACGCUGGCAAAAUGUACAGGCUACCUUGAUUGCACUGUAUGUCGAAUACGGAAUGCGCAGAUGUACAAGAUGGAAAACGCUGAGUAAUAACUUUUGCUUUCUUGUACAUCAAGGAAAAGAUUUAUGCUUCAUUUAAGUUGGUCAGUUUUUUUAAAUGCACAUGUCUGAAUUGCUGCUGCAGCGAAAAUGAGACAAACACAUGCAUGAAGACUGUGCACAGGAGGUACAGACGAAAGGGUGAGAAAAACGCCCUCAAAGGUGUUAUGAGUUUUCAAAAUGAAUAUCCUAUAAGACAGAGGCAGCAUAACUGAAAUGCACAUGAUGUGUAUGAAUUGUUUUAUUGUUUAAGCGAGUGGUCGAGAUCCUAACAACUGCGUCUGUAUGUUUCUAAUCACACUUUUGUUCUACUAUGUGGGUGUUUCAUAUGCAUGUCUAAAAAUACCCCACCUCACCUUCGGAAAGAAGGUGUCUGAUUUGACUGUUGUAGGAGGUCUGGUCGGGACAGACUGUGUCUGCCCUGCCACCUUUACAGCACGUGUUCAGAAUGACAUUUCUUCAUUCAUCUCACUUGAGCUUGUGUGCUUGUCGUUUUGCUUUGUUUGCAGUGUACAUGAAUGUUUGAUUAUAACAUUUGUAAAUGAAUGUGUUCUGAUUCUUCAUUAAUAUCAAGUCAAUAAAGUCCAUUCCUUCAACAAUUACAGAAUCUAUCUAUCUAUCGUUCUAUCGAUCUAUCUAUCGUUCUAUCUAUCUAUCGUUCUAUCUAUCUAUCUG
RNAcentral lists this long non-coding RNA (1498 nucleotides) under Sinocyclocheilus rhinocerous. RNAcentral describes it as "lncRNA (ENSSRHG00000022744.1)". The record is from RNAcentral. Lineage: Eukaryota; Metazoa; Chordata; Actinopteri; Cypriniformes; Cyprinidae.